GAGCUCAAAGGGAAGAGAGAACUACCAGACUGGUCAGAAAAAAACCAAAUUACCUCUGUAACAGGGGGAAGGGCUGGUUUUGCAUCUGUGUGAGUUGGGGUCCAGCUGUCUUGAAAGGACACCAGGGUUCUGGUGCACAGCAAGUUGAAGGAGCCAAGUGUGCACAGCCAAAGAGUCCUGCAAUGUAAUGAAAAAAUGUUGCUUGGUUCUCAAUGAAUUCUGUGGAAGUACCAGAGGAAAAGAGU
Motacilla alba alba is the source of this 245-nucleotide long non-coding RNA. RefSeq lists it as uncharacterized. Lineage: Eukaryota; Metazoa; Chordata; Aves; Passeriformes; Motacillidae. The record is from RefSeq and is a predicted model, not a curated record. The transcript is spliced from 3 exons.